AUUCUACUGACUCCAAGUUCACGCAGCUGUUCAUCCCCUGCUUAAUGUACUGGCCUGCCCUGUGGCUGCCCAUUGACCAAUCAGCAUGCACUUCUCCAUUCAGAGCAGACGAAAAGCCCAGACUCAAUCAGUCUCACACACUCAUCAGGACUACUUGGCUAUGGAAAGGAGAUAGCCACUAUGGGUCUCCUCUCCAUUAAGAGUUGGACACUUGUCCAGAUGACCUGCCUACAGAAAGAAGCUACCCACUAUGGGUCUCCUCUCCUCUGAAAGCUGGACACUCAUUGGAACAACCUGCCUGCAGAAAGAAGCUGCCCACUUCAGGGCUCCUGAGAGCUGUUCUGUCGCUCAAUAAAUCUCCUCUCCACCUUGUUCACCCUCCAGUUGUCUGCAUACGUCAUUCUUCCUGGAAAUGGGACAAGAACUUAGGACACACCAAAUGGCAAGACUGAAAGAGCUGUAACACAAACAGGGCUGAAACAUGCUCCUUCACUCACUAAGUGGUGGGCAAUAAGUAGGAGAGAAGAGCUGUGUCACUUUGGGGAGCCCAAAGUUAAGGGCUCCCCAAGCCAGGGCUGUGCCACCCUCUUUUGGGGUCUAUGGUUUCCAGUGUCUCUAAGCUUCUGGGCACCACUGUAUUCCCUAGUGCCUGAAGCAGUACAGCUUGUGGUACACCUGGUCUAGCCACAGCCUCACGUGGAACCACUGCCUGUGCUGGAACCUGGAGAUGACUGCCCUAUUGCAGCCAGCAUGCUGGGCUGUGCACAGUUGCUGUACCCUGUGCUCACUUGCUCACACACCCCUCACCACUCUGCUCCUGGCUUAUCCUUGGCAGGUAUGGGAUCCAGGCCAGUAGUAUGAGCCAGUUGCAGCCUGCUGGCUCAAAUGGGUGGAAUGAGCCCAGCAGGCGCAAGCAAAACACAAGCAGAGUUGCCGCCAGCCACAGAGGUUUCUGACUGGCAAAGUGACACCCCAAGGAACCCAUGACAGUUAAGCAAUAAAACUAAAAAUAUAUCACUUUUUUGCAAUACCUGAGGAUAGAAGAAUGUAUACUGUAAAUUCUUAUUUUGUGUAUGUAUAAGCUGCAUGCUUCAUAUACUAUCUUUUAGGAGAUAUAUUAGAAUAUCUUACAUUAAGUAUAAAUUAUUAUUAAUGUAGUUUUAGAAUGGCAUAUUUGUGAUUAAAUCAUAAGAUUUUAUGCAUCAGGUUUGAAUAUUUCUUAACUGACUUUUGUGUUUCAUUAUAGAUGUGUUAAGUUAUUGCUGAGAAUUUCCCUUUUGAAUGCUAUGCUGAUAGGAUGUUUCAGUGUUGUGAAUUCUGUAUUCUAGUGCUGAUGCCUCCAUCCCCAAAACCUGCCAUUUCACUUUAAAUACUGUAAAACAGGUUACCUACUCUCGUACGUAACUCAGAAGCACCUAAUAGUAUGGCUGAUAUUCUGUUGAAAUAAACAACAUAACAACUUGUAUCGUUUGGAAAUUCAGAUACUGAUAUUCUUUGCCCUUUAGCACUUCUGUCUCAUCCACUCAAUUUCUCUUCAACAUUCUCCCUCAACUUUUCAAAUUAUAAAUCACAACAAAUCAAUGAAAACAGCAUUGCUUAUAUAGCAGCAGUCCUUUAGGCAUAAUCAGCAUUCAGUUACCAAUUCAUAUAAAAUGACAGGCCCAGGGAGGAACUGAGACCUACCACAACACCAUGAUAAAGGCAGAAGCCAUCUGAGAGAUAUGAAAACGGCCAGAGGGUGUGAAAUUAAUGGAGAGGAAACAAAACACAUAUUGAAAUCAGAUAAGGGCUUGUUUGAAAUACUAUUUUGUAAACCAUGUUCUAACAGCCACCAUGGGGUCCUUUGUAACUCUUCACACUUAACUCCAACUGCCACUGCUCUCUGUUGACUAAACUCCCAUCCACACUGACUGCUUUCAGUUUCUCAAAAGAGGCAAGCUCUUCCUGCCCUGGGACCUUCACUUAAACUGUUCUUCAUACGUGUGAUUCUCUCCUUAACAUCUUUACAUGAUGUCUUUUUCCUGUCUUAGCCUCAACUUAAAUGCCAUGUCUUCAAGAUAUUUUAUCCCAGUACCUAAUAUAAAAUAGUGGCCACCAAUAUUAUUUUCAUAAUUCCUUUUUUUCCUCAUGUAUAGAACUUAUCACAUUUGAGAUCAAGUAUUUGUUUGUUUCUCUAAUUUGAGUUUGAGUAAAUUAAACUGCCAGUAUCACUAUAUACUUAGCUGUACCCAACUUUAUAUGGUUUGGCUGUGUCCCCACCCAAAUCUCAUCUUGAAUUUUAGCUCCUAUAGUUCCCAUGUGUUAUGGGAGGGACCCAGUGGGAGAUAAUCAAAUCAUGGGAGCAGUUCCCCCAUACUGUUCUCAUGGUAAUCAAUAAGUCUCACAAGAUCUGAUGGUUUUAUAAGGGGAAACACUUUUUGCUGGUUCUCACCCUCUCUUUUUGCCUGCUGCCAUCCAUGUAAGACAUGACUUGCUCCUCCUUGCCUUCUACCAUGAUUCUGAGGCCUCCCCAACCACAAGGAACUGUAAGUCCAUCAAACACUUUUUUCUGUAUAAAUUACCCAGUCUUGGGUAUGUCUUUAUCAGUGGCAUGAAAACAGACUAAUACAGUAAAGUGGUACCAGUAGAGUGGGGUGCUGCUGAAAAGAUACCUGAAAAUGUGGCAGCAACUUUGGGACUGGGUAACAGGCAGACGUUGGAACAGUUUGGAGGGCUCAGAAGAAGAUGAGAAAAUGUAGGAAAGUUUGGAACUCCCUAGAGACUUGUUGAAUGGCUAUGACCAAAAUGCUGAUAAUGAUAUGGACAAUUAAAUCCAGGUUGAGGUGGACUCAGAUGGAUGUAAGGAACUUGUUGGGAACUGGAGCAAAGGUGACUCUUGUUAAACAUUUUAGCAAAGAGACUGGUGGCAUUUUGCCCCUCCCCUAGAAAUUUGUGGAACUUUGAACUUGAGAAAGAUGAUUUAGGGCAUCUGGUGGAAGAAAUUUCUAAGCAGCAAAGCAUUCAGGAUGUGACUUUGGUGCUGUUAAAGAUAUUCUGUUUUAAAAGGGAAACAGAGCAAAAAAGUUUGGAAAAUUUGCAGCCUGACAAUGAGAUAGAAAAUAAAAUCCCAUUUUCUGAGGAGAAAUUCAAGCCAGCUGCAAAAAUUUGCAUAAGUAAUGAAGACCCAAGUGUUAAUCACCAAGACAAUGGGGAAAACGCCUCCAGGGCAUGUCAUAGAACUUUGCAGAAGCCCCUCUCAUUACAGGCCCAGAGGCCUAGGAGGAAAAAGUGGUUUCAUGGGCUGGACCCAGGGUCCUUGUGCUGUGUGCCCCCUAGGGACUUGGUGCCCCCUGUCCCAACACUCCAGCCAUACUUGAAAGGGAUCAACAUAUAGCUCAGGCCUUGGCUUCAGAGGGUGCAAGCCCCAAGCCUUGGCAACUUCCAUGUGGCAUUGUGCCUUCAAGUGCACAGAAGUCAAGAAUUUGGGUUUAGGAACUUCCACCUAGAUUUCUGAGGAUGUAUGGAAAUGCCUGGAUGCCCAGGCAGAAGUUUGCUGCAGGUGCAGGGCACUCAUGGAGAACCUCUGCUAGGGCAGUGCAGAAGGGAAAUGUGGGGUUGAAGCCCCCAUACAGAGUCCUUACUAGGGCACUGCCUACUGGGGCUCUUCCCUGUGAGAAGAGGGCCACCAUUCUCCAGACCCCAGAAUGGUAGAUCCACAGGCAGCUUGCACUGUGCACCAGGAAAAGCCACAGACAUUCAAUGCCAGCCUGUGAAAUCAGCCAGGUGGGGGAUAUUCCCUGCAAAGCCACAGGGGCAGAGCCGCCCAAGACCAUGAGAACCCACAUUUUGCAUCAGCAUGACCUGAAUCUGAGACACAAAGUCAAAGGAGAUUAUUUGGUAUGUUCUGGAUUUUGAACUUGUAUGGGGACUGUAGCCCCUUCAUUUUGGCCAAUUACUGUCUUUGGAACAGGUAUAUUUACCCAAUGCCUAUACCACCAUUGUAUCUAGGAAGUAAGUAACUUGCUUUUGAUUUUACAGGCACACAGGCAGAAGAGACUUGCCUUGUUUCAGAUGAAACUUUGGACUGUGGACUUUUGAGUUAAUGCUGAAAUGAAUUAAGACUUUCGGGGGCUGGGCAUGGUGGCUCAUGCCUGUAAUCCCAGCACUUUGGGAGGCUGAGGCAGGCAGAUCAUGAGGUCAGGAGAUCGAGACCAUCCUGGCUAACAUGGUGAAACCCUGUCUGUAAUAAAAAUACAAAAAAUUAGCCAGGCAUGGUGGCGUGUGCCUGUAG
RNAcentral lists this long non-coding RNA (4270 nucleotides) under Homo sapiens (human). RNAcentral describes it as "non-protein coding lnc-IRS1-2:6". Lineage: Eukaryota; Metazoa; Chordata; Mammalia; Primates; Hominidae. The record is from RNAcentral.